GAUGAACGCUGGCGGUCUGCUUAACACAUGCAAGUCGAACGAACUCUUCGGAGUGAGUGGCGGACGGGUGAGUAACGCGUGAGAAUCUGCCUGUGGUCGGGACAACUACUGGAAACGUGCUAAUACCGGAUGAGCCGAAAGGUAAAAGAUUUAUUGCCCACAGAUGAGCUCGCGUCUGAUUAGCUAGUUGUAAGUAAAAGCGUACCAAGGCGACGAUCAGUAGCUGGUCUGAGAGGAUGAGCAGCCACACUGGACUGAGACACGGCCCAGACUCCUACGGGAGGCAGCAGUGGGAAUUUUCCGCAAUGGGCGAAAGCCUGACGGAGCAAGACCGCGUGGGGAGGAAGGUUUUUGGAUCGUAAACCCUUUGUC
Molecule: ribosomal RNA, 372 nt
Filed under: uncultured bacterium
Lineage: Bacteria
Description: bacterial SSU rRNA
Rfam family: Bacterial small subunit ribosomal RNA
Source: RNAcentral